AGUGAACGCUGGCGGUAGGCCUAACACAUGCAAGUCGAACGGCAGCACAGUAAGAGCUUGCUCUUACGGGUGGCGAGUGGCGGACGGGUGAGGAAUACAUCGGAAUCUACUUUUUCGUGGGGGAUAACGUAGGGAAACUUACGCUAAUACCGCAUACGACCUACGGGUGAAAGCAGGGGAUCUUCGGACCUUGCGCGAUUGAAUGAGCCGAUGUCGGAUUAGCUAGUUGGCGGGGUAAAGGCCCACCAAGGCGACGAUCCGUAGCUGGUCUGAGAGGAUGAUCAGCCACACUGGAACUGAGACACGGUCCAGACUCCUACGGGAGGCAGCAGUGGGGAAUAUUGGACAAUGGUCGCAAGCCUUAUCCAGCCAUACCGCGUGGGUGAAGAAGGCCUUCGGGUUGUAAAGCCCUUUUGUUGGGAAAGAAAAGCAGCAGGUUAAUACCCCGCUGUUCUGACGGUACCCAAAGAAUAAGCACCGGCUAACUUCGUG
This 492-nucleotide ribosomal RNA is filed under the name uncultured bacterium. RNAcentral's name for it is "partial 16S ribosomal RNA". It matches the Rfam family "Bacterial small subunit ribosomal RNA", at positions 29 to 507 of the family's 1533-position model. The record is from RNAcentral.